This 3199-nucleotide long non-coding RNA is filed under the name Sus scrofa (pig). Its description in RNAcentral is "lncRNA (ENSSSCG00060015975.1)". Lineage: Eukaryota; Metazoa; Chordata; Mammalia; Artiodactyla; Suidae. The record is from RNAcentral.
UUUUUUUUUGCUUUUUAGGCAAAGGAGUGGAACAAGGAGGUUCCCAGGCUAGGGGUCGAAUUGGAGUUGCAGCCACCAGCCUACACCACAGCCAUAGCACCUCAGGAUCCAAGCUGCAUCUGUGACCUACACCACAGCUCACGGCAACGCCGGAUCCUUAACCCACUGAGCGAGGACAGGAAUUGAACCUACAACCUCAUGAUUAUGAGUUGGAUUUGUUUCCGCUGCACCACAACGGAACUCCUGAACCACACUUUCCAUCAUCGAACUGGAAGCACUUCAUCAACAAUCCAGGAAGACAGGGCAUUCCAGGAUGACCAUUCACUCCGUUUGUGGAAAUAAAGUAGCCUUCAGUCCUUUACAAUUUUGCUGAACAACGACUGCUAAGAGAAGUUUCAAAUAUUUGCUGGAGAUACUCUUGGAAAAUAGAGGGCAAUUUACUGGCCUGUGUGAUUUUCAAGUGGAAGAAUAUGUCAAUCACCUAAUUACCAACUAUUCAUCAAGGAGGGCUUUUAAAUACAUUGUAAAUGAAACGUGUAAAUUAGCCACGAAUUCCAAAUGUACUAUACUGUAUAAACGCAGAGCAGAAAUCUUUUCAAAAGUGUAAUUUAUUCAAAGGCGUUUCCUAGCUUAAAUACAUUCUCCCUGAAAAGCCAUCUGUAUUGACCCAAGUUACUACAUCUUCCAUGGUCCUUUUAGAAUAGAUAUUUAUUCAAAAGCUGCAAAAUAAUGGGGAACGAGUCUUCCAGUUGAAGUUAGUAUUACACAAAGUGACUUAGGACAUCACUUUUUAUUAUUCCAGUCCAGCAUCCUCCCUUCCUUUCCAUUGCGUCCUCUAGGCCUCAACACAACCUCUGAGUCUAGUAAGCACGAAAUAAUCCUUAUUUUUUACAUGACAGUUAGUCUCAAAAACAAAACAGGGAGUUGCAAAAUUGGAGGUCAGUGAACAAAAUUUGCUGCCCCUCAACCACACUGAUGCGUGCCAGGGUAGAAAAGUCAUUCCUAAUUCCUCCCAUUGCCGUCCAGAUCCAAAAAGGAAAGGGAACCAAGAUUUGGGACCAGAGUCCUUGGCAAAAAGAGAAAACCAUAAAAGUUUAAAAGAAAAUUUAAAAAAUUUAGAAAGCAGCAUUUAAAAUUGAACUGAUCCUGUGAGCAAAAAGGAAUUUGUUACUUAAAACAGAAAUGACAUACAUGAUGGGAUAUUAAGCAACAGGUAAGUAUUUUAUAUUGGACUUCCGUCGACGAUGCUGUUAAAUGCUGGCUCUCCCCAUUACAUGGUGAGCGUAGCCACUCUUGAGCUAAAAGAACACACACAGACAAACUUAAUGCAUGCAUUCCCAAACUACACACUUUCACCUAAUUUGUGGAAAUAGAUUAUAUUUCUGUUUAAAUACAAAGUAAAAGGAGGAGAAAUUUUGAAACGUUUGUCAGUCUUAUGAUUCGCAAACUGCAGGAACCACUGUGAUUCAUAUUAGCCAACAGGGUACGAAGAUCUCUGUUUACAUCCACGACGUGAUCAAAUCUUUUCACAACACCAGGGGCGCCUAUUCAUGGCAUUAAGAAGCAAGGUGAUUUAAACUUCCAGACACUGUCGAUGUGCUGUUCUUUUCAAAGGAAAAGUACGGGGUAUAUCAAAGGCAACCUCUGUAUUAAGAGCGAAUUUACAACUUCACUGCUUUCUUAAAUCAGAACCCAUUGCUCACAAUUUUUACAUCAUUUAAGAAUUUGUAAGAAGAACAAGAAGGAGUUUCCAUUGUGGUGCAGAGGAAAUGAAUCCAACUAGUAUUCAUGAAGAUGUGGGUUUGAUCCCUGGCCUUGCCCAGUGGGCCAGGGAUCGAACCCGCCACCUCAUGGUUUCUGGUUGAAUUUGUUUCCUCUGUGCCAUGAUGGGAAUUCGAGCAGCUGUUUUUUCUUAAUGUGAACAUCUCCAAGUAAGAAAAUUAACAAAAAUCCUGUGUCCUUAAUUAAGAAAAUUCAAUAUCUAGCAUCUUCCUCUCAAAGUCACAAUGCAGGUGCUUGCCACCUGAUUUCAGAAGCUCAAAAGGUAGACGAGAAUGGGUAGCAAUCACUAUACAGUGGUUCCUGGUAUUUGCGGGGAGAUUGGUUGUAGGCUCCUCAUUGAUACUAAAACUUGGGACACUCAGGUCCCUUACAUAAAGCAGUAGAGUAUCUGCAUAAAAUCUGUGCCCAUCCUCCUGUAUAUUUUUAUGUAUAUUUAAAAAAAUUUUGUUAUAGUUGAUUUAUAAUGUUGUGCCAAUUUCUGCUAUAUAGCAAAGUGACCCAGUUUUAUAUAUACAUACACAUAUUCCCUUUUUUCGCUUACUAAAUGAACUUUAUUAUGUUUACAGUUGUACAACAACCAUCACAACCCUUCAAUUUUAUAGCAUUUCCAUCCCAAACCCCCAGCGCAUCCUCCCACCCCUCGACCUGUCUCCUUUGGAAACCAUAAGUUUUUCAAAGUCUGUGAAUCAGUAUCUGUUCUACAAAGAAGUUCAUUGUGUCCUUUUUUUCAGAUUCCACAUGUAAGUGAUAGCAUUUGAUGUCGGUGUCUCACCUCUGACUGACUUCACUUAGAAUAAUUUCUAGGUCCAUCCAUGUUGCUGCAAAUGCUAUUAUUUCUUUCCUUUUAAUGACUGACUAGUAUUCCAUUGUGUAUAUGUACCACAUCUUCUUUAUCCACUCCUAUGUGGAUGGACGUUUAGAUGUUUCCAUGUCUUGGCUAUUGUAAAUAGUGCUGCAAUGGACACUGGUGUACAUGUAUCUUUUCCAGUCAUGGUUUUCUCUGGAUAGAUGCCUAGGACUGGGAUUGCUGGAUCAAUACUCCCUUUCUUGUAUAAUCUUCCAUCAUGGUCUCUCCCAAGAGACUGGAUAUAGUUCCCUGCACUGUACAGUAGGACUCAUUCCUCCUGUAUACUUUAAAUCGUCUCUAGAGUACUUAUAAUACCUAAUACAAUGUAAAUGCUAUGUAAAUAGUUCCUGGCAUGCGGAAAACGACAGUUUUCUAUUCUGGAACUUUCUUAAAUGCUGUUUUUAAUAUUCCAACCCUCAGUUGAAUUUGUGGACGCGGAAUCCGCAGAUAAGGAAGGCACAGAUUGGGAGGGCUGACUGCUACUGGUUUCCAGCAAGAGAUGCCUCCCUUUGCAAACACUCCUCAGAACUGAUAUAAGCAGAGCCUGUGAAGUAGGAGCCAUACAGAGAC